This is a long non-coding RNA of Octopus sinensis (East Asian common octopus), 106 nucleotides long. RefSeq lists it as uncharacterized. The record is from RefSeq and is a predicted model, not a curated record. The transcript has 3 exons. NCBI's taxonomy places the organism in Eukaryota, Metazoa, Mollusca, Cephalopoda, Octopoda, Octopodidae.
UCACUGCAGCCUGGAGUUGUCGGUCGGGGAGUUUGACUUGGGCGGUACGUCUGUCAAACGGUAACGCAGGGGUCCCAAGGCGAGCUCAGCGUGGACGGAAACCACA